UGGGGAAUAUUGCACAAUGGGCGCAAGCCUGAUGCAGCCAUGCCGCGUGUAUGAAGAAGGCCUUCGGGUUGUAAAGUACUUUUAGCGGGGAGGAAGGGAGUAAAGUUAAUACCUUUGCUCAUUGACGUUACCCGCAGAAGAAGCACCGGCCAACUCCGUGCCAGCAGCCGCGGCAAUACGGAGGGGGCAAGCGUUAAUCGGAAUUACUGGGCGUAAGGCGCACGCAGGGGGUUUGUUAAGUCAGAUGUGAAAUCCCCGGGCUCAACCUGGGAACUGCAUCUGAUACUGGCAGGCUUGAGUCUGGUAGAGGGGGGUAGAAUUCCAGGUGUAGCGGUGAAAUGCGUAGAGAUCUGGAGGAAUACCGGUGGCGAAGGCGGCCCCCUGGACGAAGACUGACGCUCAGGUGCGAAAGCGUGGGGAGCAAACAGG
RNAcentral lists this ribosomal RNA (429 nucleotides) under Chloroflexota bacterium. RNAcentral describes it as "Chloroflexi bacterium partial 16S ribosomal RNA". It matches the Rfam family "Bacterial small subunit ribosomal RNA", at positions 355 to 776 of the family's 1533-position model. The record is from RNAcentral. Lineage: Bacteria; Bacillati; Chloroflexota.